CCUACGGGUGGCAGCAGUGAGGAAUAUUGGUCAAUGGACGAGAGUCUGAACCAGCCAAGUAGCGUGAAGGAUGACUGCCCUAUGGGUUGUAAACUUCUUUUAUAUGGGAAUAAAAUGUUCCACGUGUGGGAUUUUGUAUGUACCAUAUGAAUAAGGAUCGGCUAACUCCGUGCCAGCAGCCGCGGUAAUACGGAGGAUCCGAGAGUUAUCCGGAUUUAUUGGGUUUAAAGGGAGCGUAGGUGGAUUGUUAAGUCAGUUGUGAAAGUUUGCGGCUCAACCGUAAAAUUGCAGUUGAAACUGGCAGUCUUGAGUACAGUAGAGGUGGGCGGAAUUCGUGGUGUAGCGGUGAAAUGCUUAGAUAUCACGAAGAACUCCGAUUGCGAAGGCAGUUCACUGGACUGCAACUGACACUGAGGCUCGAAAGUGUGGGUAUCAAACAGGAUUAGAUACCCGUGUAGUC
This 460-nucleotide ribosomal RNA is filed under the name uncultured bacterium. RNAcentral's name for it is "partial 16S ribosomal RNA". It matches the Rfam family "Bacterial small subunit ribosomal RNA", at positions 338 to 795 of the family's 1533-position model. The record is from RNAcentral.